CUCUCUCUCUGCCCCUCCCACACACACUCUCUGGCUCUUUCUCUCUCAAAAGAAUGUUUACUGUGUACAUGCAUGUCAACAACACUAAUCUUAAAAAGAGUGGCAAGAGGGGGAAAAAGCAGGCAGAUAUUCUUACAAAUAACCCAUCAGCAUUGACUUUGCAAUGGACUCAACCAGCUGCUUUGCGUAGAAUAUGGUGCUAGUUUUUGUUUUUGUUUUUUUUAUUUCCCAAAUUAGACCACAUUUUGCGCCGGAUUCAGAUCCCAAGAUUCUAAAUGGAACGUUAAAAGUGACCUGUGUUGACUUGUUCUCAAAGAGCCGGGGAAUCACAGCCAACGUUCAUUCUGUGAAUCGCAAGACACGUCUGUUUUCUGCAAGUUGGUCACUUGGGGGAUAAUAUCCCUUUCUGAUAAAAAAGGACUUAACUGGGAGAAUUUUUUCCAAUCACUGUGGGAACGUGUUUUCUUGCAAAGAGCCACGAGGAUUGUAGAGGCCAGACUAGUUGUUUCUCAGGAAACGUUUCCUCCUUGUGUCUUCCUGGAAAGAACGCGCCGGCUCUGACCACCUGGGUGUCCGGGGGGAGGCUGAAGAAUUGUUCAGAGACGCCGUGUCUGUGGUCUCUGAAAUGAAAGUUGCAAAACGAGAGAGAACACUGAACAGAAGCAAAUGUGCUUUUCCUCAACACAAGGUUUCCUCCCCCAGAACGGCAUCAGACUGUCGGAAGCUGGGCACUGUUCCAGAGUUGCAACAGUCCAUCCCUCAAGUGCAGCCCGGCGGGGAAGCUCUUAGCUCUUUGGUCUCUGGACGCGGGAGACUGAGAGACGAAAACCGCCAUCAGCUUCCCUUGUCUGUCUAGCAGGAUGGUUAUGGGACGAUGACAGCGUGCCUGCUGCGGGCUGGGUGUGCUCGGACUCCCCGCGUCCCCGGCCGCUCUGACCUCUCACCCAUUCCAAUGGAGGAAUCCCUUCCCCCACAUUUUACAGAAAAGGGAACAGACGCCCAGAGAGGUCUCGAGGCUGGCAAGUCCAAGAUCAAGGGUCACAGCAGAUGGGCGUCUGGUGAGAGCCCGCUUCCCGGUCCACGGAUGCCCGUCUUCUUUCUGUGUCCUCCCACGGCGGAAGGGGGGAGGGAGCUCUCUGGAGUCCCCCAUAUAAGGGCCCUGAUCCCACCAAGGAGGCUCUGUCUUCAUGACCUGUCACCUCCCAAAGGCUCCGCCCACGAAAGCCAUCACAUGGGGCAUCGGGCUUCAACAUAUGGGGGGGGGAGGGUGGCACAGACAUUGGGUCCAUGGUGAUAAUGAUGAGUCACAGGUGAUGGUGAUGAAGGCA
Long non-coding RNA from Felis catus (domestic cat), 1328 nucleotides. RefSeq lists it as uncharacterized. The record is from RefSeq and is a predicted model, not a curated record. NCBI's taxonomy places the organism in Eukaryota, Metazoa, Chordata, Mammalia, Carnivora, Felidae. The transcript has 4 exons.